Pelobates cultripes (western spadefoot toad) is the source of this 1013-nucleotide non-coding RNA. Lineage: Eukaryota; Metazoa; Chordata; Amphibia; Anura; Pelobatidae. The record is from the annotation of a GenBank genome assembly.
GUUUAGUGGUAAGAGGUUUCCCUUGUAGAAAUAAUAGUGGGUAAUUGGGGGUUUUUUAUGAUCUGAUGUUUUUUAAUUUACUUGUCCAAUGCUUGUACUGGACACCAUUUGGAAAAAGUAGGAUAAUAUAUCAUUUCUACUGGGGGGCCUGUCUGGCUAGUUUUAGUAUGUGGUAUAUAAUGGUCCUUUACUUUUGUUAAGAAUUUUUGCUUAAUUCAUGACUUAAAGUCGGAUGACUUUUCCACAGAAAAUUCUUUGGGUCUCAGGAAUCCGUAGAAUGCUAAAUAUGCUGUUGACUUAAUUACCAAAUUUGUGGGGUCUUCGAAAAGGCACCCUGUGCAAUAAAUUUAGGCACCCUGUGCGAUAAAUCUUCACAGCGCCUCCCCCCCGUCAUCCAUGUAUGAUGUAAUGUUUGUGUUGUCUGUGUAUGUGAUAGAUGUGAUGACUGUGUGUGAUAUGUAUGCUAUGUGAUGGCUGUGUGUGAUGGUUAUUUGAUUCAGAUAAAAACAUGCAUUUAGGCCUGUGUGUGAAUGCAGGGGUAUAUUUUUGCAGAGUCAUGUGCACAUAUUCCCACAGUCAGAUGCACACAGUUAUAAAUAUGCACUGUCAAAUCCACCACAUGCACAUAGUCGCAGGCAGAUAGUCACAUACACAGGAUCAGACAGAAACACACAGGUAAAGGCAGUAACACACAUACACAGUUACAGGUAGAUAAACACACUCACACACAAUUACAGGCAGACAGCCACACAUACAGUCUUACACACACAUACUUACAUCCAGACUGUCAUACACAGCCACACACACAGCCAGACAGCCACACACACACACACAGGCAGCCACAUACAUACAUACACACAGGCAGCCAGCCACAUACAUACACACAGGCAGACAGCUACAUACAUACACACAGGCAGACAGCCACAUACAUACACACACACACACACACACACACACACAGAGGCAGACGGCCAUCCACACACAGAGGCAGACGGCCAUCCACACACAGAGGC